UUUCUCCGUAGGGUGAACCUGCGGAGGGAUCAUUACACAAAUAUGAAGGCGGGCUGGAACCUCUCGGGGUUACAGCCUUGCUGAAUUAUUCACCCUUGUCUUUUGCGUACUUCUUGUUUCCUUGGUGGGUUCGCCCACCACUAGGACAAACAUAAACCUUUUGUAAUUGCAAUCAGCGUCAGUAACAAAUUAAUAAUUACAACUUUCAACAACGGAUCUCUUGGUUCUGGCAUCGAUGAAGAACGCAGCGAAAUGCGAUAAGUAGUGUGAAUUGCAGAAUUCAGUGAAUCAUCGAAUCUUUGAACGCACAUUGCGCCCUUUGGUAUUCCAAAGGGCAUGCCUGUUCGAGCGUCAUUUGUACCCUCAAGCUUUGCUUGGUGUUGGGCGUCUUGUCUCUAGCUUUGCUGGAGACUCGCCUUAAAGUAAUUGGCAGCCGGCCUACUGGUUUCGGAGCGCAGCACAAGUCGCACUCUCUAUCAGCAAAGGUCUAGCAUCCAUUAAGCCUUUUUUUCAACUUUUGACCUCGGAUCAGGUAGGGAUACCCGCUGAACUUAACCAUAUCAAUAACCGGAGGAAA
This 577-nucleotide ribosomal RNA is filed under the name Alternaria porri. RNAcentral describes it as "eukaryotic LSU rRNA". The stretch from base 201 to 354 matches the Rfam family "5.8S ribosomal RNA". The record is from RNAcentral. Lineage: Eukaryota; Fungi; Ascomycota; Dothideomycetes; Pleosporales; Pleosporaceae.